This 1001-nucleotide ribosomal RNA is filed under the name human gut metagenome. RNAcentral describes it as "bacterial LSU rRNA". It matches the Rfam family "Bacterial large subunit ribosomal RNA", at positions 1922 to 2925 of the family's 2925-position model. The record is from RNAcentral.
AGUAAACGGCGGCCGUAACUAUAACGGUCCUAAGGUAGCGAAAUUCCUUGUCGGGUAAGUUCCGACCCGCACGAAAGGCGUAAUGAUUUGAGCGCUGUCUCGACAAUGCAUCCGGUGAAAUUGAAGUACCAGUGAAGAUGCUGGUUACCUGCGCCAGGACGGAAAGACCCCAUGGAGCUUUACUCCAGCUUGAUACUGGGAUUCGGUAUUGCAUGUACAGGAUAGGUGGGAGGCUAGGAAAUGGUAACGCCAGUUGCCAUGGAGCCGCUGUUGGGAUACCACCCUUGCAGUAUUGGGUUUCUAACCAGCCGCCGUGACCCGGCGGUGGGACAAUGCCAGACGGGGAGUUUGACUGGGGCGGUCGCCUCCGAAAGGGUAUCGGAGGCGCUCAAAGGUUCCCUCAGAAUGGUUGGAAACCAUUCGAAGAGUGCAAAGGCAGAAGGGAGCUUGACUGCGACACCGACGGGUGGAGCAGGUACGAAAGUAGGGCUUAGUGAUCCGGUGGUAUUAAGUGGGAAUGCCAUCGCUCAACGGAUAAAAGCUACCCUGGGGAUAACAGGCUUAUCACUCCCAAGAGUUCACAUCGACGGAGUGGUUUGGCACCUCGAUGUCGGCUCAUCGCAUCCUGGGGCUGUAGUAGGUCCCAAGGGUUGGGCUGUUCGCCCAUUAAAGCGGUACGCGAGCUGGGUUCAGAACGUCGUGAGACAGUUCGGUCCCUAUCCGGCGUGGGCGUAGGAUAUCUGAGAGGAGCUGUCCUUAGUACGAGAGGACCGGGAUGGACGGGCCGCUGGUGCAUCGGUUAGACUGCCAAGUCUACGGCCGAGUAGCCAAGCCCGGAAGGGAUAAACGCUGAAGGCAUCUAAGCGUGAAGCCCCCCUCAAGAUGAGAUAUCCCUACGUAAGUAGUAAGACCCCUUGAAGACGACGAGGUAGAUAGGGCAGAGGUGGAAGUGUGGUAACACAUGGAGCUGACUGUUACUAAUCGGGUGAGGGCUUGACCAA